CUACGGGAGGCAGCAGUGGGGAAUAUUGCACAAUGGGCGCAAGCCUGAUGCAGCGACGCCGCGUGGGGGAUGACGGCCUUCGGGUUGUAAACCUCUUUCAGUACCGACGAAGCGUAAGUGACGGUAGGUACAGAAGAAGCACCGGCCAACUACGUGCCAGCAGCCGCGGUAAUACGUAGGGUGCGAGCGUUGUCCGGAAUUACUGGGCGUAAAGAGCUCGUAGGUGGUUUGUCGCGUUGUCCGUGAAAACUCACAGCUUAACUGUGGGCGUGCGGGCGAUACGGGCAGACUGGAGUACUGCAGGGGAGACUGGAAUUCCUGGUGUAGCGGUGGAAUGCGCAGAUAUCAGGAGGAACACCGGUGGCGAAGGCGGGUCUCUGGGCAGUAACUGACGCUGAGGAGCGAAAGCGUGGGGAGCGAACAGGAUUAGAUACCCCAGUAGUCC
This 445-nucleotide ribosomal RNA is filed under the name uncultured bacterium. RNAcentral's name for it is "bacterial SSU rRNA". It matches the Rfam family "Bacterial small subunit ribosomal RNA", at positions 339 to 796 of the family's 1533-position model. The record is from RNAcentral.